Molecule: ribosomal RNA, 256 nt
Filed under: uncultured bacterium
Lineage: Bacteria
Description: partial 16S ribosomal RNA
Rfam family: Bacterial small subunit ribosomal RNA
Source: RNAcentral
UACGUAGGGGGCAAGCGUUGUCCGGAAUUAUUGGGCGUAAAGAGCGCGUAGGCGGUCCGAUAAGUCGGCUGUGAAAGUCAGGGGCUCAACCCUUGAAAGCCGGCCGAUACUGUCGGACUAGAGUCCGGAAGAGGCAAGUGGAAUUCCCGGUGUAGCGGUGAAAUGCGCAGAUAUCGGGAGGAACACCAAUGGCGAAGGCAGCUUGCUGGGACGGUACUGACGCUGAGGCGCGAAAAGCGUGGGGGAGCAAAACAGG